GACGAACGCUGGCGGCGUGCUUAACACAUGCAAGUCGAGCGGUAAGGCCUCUUUCGGGGGGUACACGAGCGGCGAACGGGUGAGUAACACGUGGGUGACCUGCCUUCAGCUCUGGGAUAAGCUUGGGAAACUGGGUCUAAUACCGGAUAUGACCUUCUGCCGCAUGGUGGGGGUGGAAAGUUUUUCGGCUGGAGAUGGGCCCGCGGCCUAUCAGCUUGUUGGUGGGGUGAUGGCCUACCAAGGCGA
This 246-nucleotide ribosomal RNA is filed under the name uncultured Actinomycetes bacterium. Its description in RNAcentral is "uncultured actinobacterium partial 16S ribosomal RNA". It matches the Rfam family "Bacterial small subunit ribosomal RNA", at positions 28 to 276 of the family's 1533-position model. The record is from RNAcentral. Lineage: Bacteria; Bacillati; Actinomycetota; Actinomycetes.